This is a non-coding RNA of Notechis scutatus (mainland tiger snake), 278 nucleotides long. Lineage: Eukaryota; Metazoa; Chordata; Lepidosauria; Squamata; Elapidae. The record is from RefSeq and is a predicted model, not a curated record.
UCUCUAGGGGGAACAUAACAUAUAGAAAUGGUGGAGCAGAGUUGCACUUAUUCUCUAAAAUAUAUAUGAUCAUCAAGAUAUUAGCACAUCUGAUCUUUGUGGGCAUCAGGCAUCAUUCAAGUUCUUCUGCCUGCUAGACUGUGUAAGAGUCAGCAUAUUGUCUCCAGCAAUCUGGGUCCUCAGAAGGAUGGAAGGCUGAGUCAACCUUGAGCCUAUCAGGAUCAAACCCCAGGCUAUGGGCAGAAUUAGCCUGCAACACUGCAUUUCAACUACUGAGC